This 1776-nucleotide long non-coding RNA is filed under the name Scleropages formosus (Asian bonytongue). RNAcentral's name for it is "lncRNA (ENSSFOG00015025190.1)". Lineage: Eukaryota; Metazoa; Chordata; Actinopteri; Osteoglossiformes; Osteoglossidae. The record is from RNAcentral.
AUCACCUUCGAGGAGCCCUCCUUCUACCUGCGCUGCCUGGGCAAGACGACGUGUUCGUGGGGCGGCGCGCCUCCGCUGCGGCUGUCCGACGAGCCACAGACAGCGACUACGAGGACGAGUGGCCCAAGCAUUCUUUCGUGAACCACUACAUGAGCGACCCCACCUACUACAACUCGUGGAAGCGGCAGCAGAAGGGCCUGAAGCAGACACCGGCCUACGCCUACGAGGAGUGUGCCGGCGGGGACGGCGAGGCCUAUUACCAGACGGUAGUGACCCAGCACAGCGUCGGAGGCGUGUACACGGCGACGGGCCAGCCUGCCCCCCCCGGCUCACGGACUCCUAUCACAGGGUUCUCCUCCUUCGUGUGAGGCGUUGUGUCGGAGGGGGCGCUGCGGGCCGCUGCCAAGCGGCUGACACCCUCGAUGCCAACAGAAGCAGUUGGAUUGGAGUGAAUCGUUUGUAAUUGUAUAUGUUGUUAUAUACAAAUGCAGUUAUGGAAUUAGGCUAAAAUACACCAAGAGCAAGUUGCCAUGUGCUAUUCUUAGAAGUAUACCAUAGCCUUAAUCAUUGAGUUCUCUGAAAUGUACUCAAUGUUCACCUGAGUGGUUUACUUCUUGAUUGUUAAAUACUGGUCAUCUAAUAUUCACGUGAUAAAAUAUUUAAGUAGGAAUUAUUCUUACAUGCAUUUCUCUUUAGAUAUACUCAAAGUAUAUAAAGUGCAUAUUAUAUAUAGCUUCUUUGCACUCUAAGAUACUGUAUGUACCAGAUAAAAUUUAUGAUGCUUAGAUUACAACUAUCUUCUUGCUGUCAUUUCUCAUUAGAUCAGUUGUUUUGAUGAAACACAGACGUAUACCCUGUUAAUGUAUUACCAUUUAUAUUGUCUAGAUAUCAUUUUCUAUAAUGUCCUUUCUUAUGAUGGUUGCAUAAUUUCCUUUAUGAGGAAUCCAUAUUCAUUGUGCUGUAAAUGUUUUCAGGGUUAACAUGUUCUGACAUGUUUAUUCAUUUUGUAACUCAGAAGUUGGCUUCACUUCCAUGUUCUCGUUCAUAAUAUGCGUCAUUCAAAUGUUUAUCUAUUUUUCAUACUGUAAUCAGCAUAUCACAAUGUUGAAAAGUGAGGGAUUAAAUUGUUCACUGUAAAGUUUUACUGUACUGUAUAUUGUCUUACAAAAUUUUGAAGGAUUUGGAAUGGAAGGAAAAGAAAACCUGCAUUUUAAAAAGGAGUAGAGAGUUAAAAAGUACAAAACUAUAAAUCGGAGACAUAAAGUAUUUAAUCUGUAUAACCCAUAGCUGAAAAUCUUAAAAGAUUUGAUAAACCCUGUCAAAAUGAUGUUUUUGGCAUGAAGAAAUUAGCUCAGGAUUAAUAUGGAAUAAUGCAAAGUGAGUCAUCAUGUGUCACCUUGGCUUUCAGCCUCCUAUCACUCUACAUUAUCACUUAACUCGAUAUAAAGUGUACUUUGUCAAAGCUGAUUACUGUGUUCUAUUAUCUUUUCUCUGAACUAUUUGCCUGUUAGUGAAAUUAAUUUGCAAUAUGGCUGAAAUGGCAAUUCACCCACCAUCCCCUUUUUCCAAAUGCGACAGCUGGGUGAAAUGUUGCAAAGUAAGGAUGAUCUGCAGAUUUAAUGUAGGUUAAAUUAAUUUUGUUAUUGUUCAUUAUUAUUUUUAUUAUUAUUAGCUGUAGUAGUAGUAGUGUAGUAGUGUAGCAGUAGACAAGUGUAAUUUUCUUGGGUGCAUACAGAACCAGUCCCAGCAUUAAGAAUAAAGAAUACAAAGAACACA